GAAAAGUUUACAGGAAAAAAAUAAAAGAAUUUCAAACAGGAUUUUUUUUUUGUUUGCUGCUUGACACAUUCUAUGAUGCUCGACAAAUCCACAACUUGAUUUCUUAAAGAAUUUUGUUUUUCUUAUUCAACUUGAGAUGGCUGACUGACUGAGUGUUGAUGAUAAUGAUCAACAACAAUGGAUAAAUGGGCGGUUGGUUUCUAUAAUUGGAAACAGUGUCUAUCGAAAACAAUUCUUUGAAUUUUACAAGAUCAUACAAUUCUUUUCGUUUGGCAAAGAAUUUUCAUUCGAAAUCGAUUCAUCAGAAUUACACAAUUGUUUUUCUCACUUCCGCAGAUGAUGAUGAUGAUGAUGAUGACCUGGUUUCAGAAUUCCA
Non-coding RNA from Dermatophagoides farinae (American house dust mite), 376 nucleotides. The record is from RefSeq and is a predicted model, not a curated record. Lineage: Eukaryota; Metazoa; Arthropoda; Arachnida; Sarcoptiformes; Pyroglyphidae.